UACGUAGGGUGCGAGCGUUAAUCGGAAUUACUGGGCGUAAAGCGUGCGCAGGCGGUGCACCAAGCUCGAUGUGAAAGCCCCGGGCUUAACCUGGGAAUUGCAUUGAGGACUGGUGUGCUCGAGUGCGGCAGAGGGGGGUGGAAUUCCACGUGUAGCAGUGAAAUGCGUAGAGAUGUGGAGGAACACCGAUGGCGAAGGCAGCCUUCUGGGCCAAUACUGACGCUCAUGCACGAAAGCGUGGGGAGCAAACAGG
This 253-nucleotide ribosomal RNA is filed under the name uncultured bacterium. RNAcentral's name for it is "partial 16S ribosomal RNA". It matches the Rfam family "Bacterial small subunit ribosomal RNA", at positions 524 to 776 of the family's 1533-position model. The record is from RNAcentral.